UUGUCUUUGUGUACGUUGUAUUUUUGUUUAGUUCCACAUUUUUUUUAUUUCCUCUUUCCCCAUCCAACGAUCCAAAACUAAUCCCCAAAACCAGAGGCCCAUUUGACCCAAGAGAAAAGAAAAACCAGCCGGAGGCCAUACUGUUCGUUCUGAUCGACGUUGAACUUAGGAGUACGCUUUCUCACUCCUCUCAAAUGGGAGCUCACAAUUCGUUAUCUUUUGUCACUGUCAAUGUACUUUGGAGGGAAUUUGUGUGGGGAGCUAUUGUUGUGGCAUAUAGGGAAGGAAUGAUGCAUCCUGUUGAGACCAUAAAUACGCGUAUUUGGAGCCAUGCUAAAGAUGUUGUAGAUGUAAUAUUCAUGGCUAAUGGGUGAAGCUCAAACGUUUGAAAAUUCAGACGUACCAUAUUUUGAUCAUUGGUGGUAUGCAUAUCUUGCCACUCCGUUAGAUGUGAUCAUGUGAUCAAAAUAAGAUUUCAACUGCAGGGUAAGACCUUGAGGUAUCAAUUCUGUUUUUUGGAUACUUUUAUCGUUAUUUUCAGAUGAAUUUCAGUUGUCAGUGUAAGACUAAAUUUGCUGCAAGCAUCACAUGCUGUAUUGUGAUGUUAGUGUACUUAAUUUCACCUGAACAAGGCUUGGCACUUGUAUGCAGUCAGCUGUUGGGCGUGUCAAUACUGAUCACAUAGGUGCACAGAGACAAACACCAGUUAUCCUUACAAUUCAUUGAGUGGUUUUUUACAAUUCUAUAGCUGUUUUAUCAAUGUGCCAUUUUCCAAGUUAUUUCAUUCUUUCUGAUAUGGAACUCAUUGUUGUUGCAUCCUGGAUUUCAUCUUCAUGGUCUGCCCUCAUUGGUGUGUUAUGCAAUAGUAGUGGUAGACUGAGAGUAAAUAGCUUCUUUUCGUUGAGUAUCUUAUGGUUGUAGCUAUUAUCUCCUGCGGUAUGAUGCAGCUAUUCUUCAUACUUCAUUUGCAAGGCUUCUGGGUCACCCCAAAGCAUCUUCUACUGUAGUACAUCUAAAGACUCUUUGAGUACAAUUAGUAGCCGAUUCAUUGCUGUGUCACACGAAUUAUUUUAAUAUUGCAGUUGCAACCUAUUAGGUGAUCUGCAGGAAAUGUUAAUUCUUGAUCUUUCUUAUACUCUUCAAAGAAUCUAGGCUUGUUUUCCAAUUUCUUUUCAAUUUUCAUAUAUAGUAUAUGUAUGACUACUUUUCAUAUUUGAUGGAAUUUGACAAUCCUUGAUAAGGUCCAUAACAUUCAUCAAUUAGAGUUGAAGGAACGUGUCAGCUGUUGUGCACGUCCACACUGAUCACAUAGGUAGGAAUGGCUGGUUGCAUGCAAUUUGUUGCAUAUAGAAGGCUGAUGAUGCAUAGGGGAUGUUCAGAGGUAGCAUUCCCAGGAUUGGAGAGUUUAGUCUAGCUUCAGCUCUUCACUUUACGGCUAUUGAAUUUUCUCAGAGAUCAUUUCAAUGAAGGAUUGAGCAAUGACAACACGCAAGAAGUUGCUAGCAUGUCAGUGGAGGAAAUACUGGGGAAUUUUCAUGAAUCCAAAAAAUAAUUUGGACAAGACUUUUAAUAAUGUUUUCUUGUAAUAUGUAAUAUGUUAGGCAUAUAAUGAUAUUGAGGAGGAGGUUUUUGGUAUUGCAUUUUUCUUUUGC
Prunus mume (Japanese apricot) is the source of this 1652-nucleotide long non-coding RNA. RefSeq lists it as uncharacterized. Lineage: Eukaryota; Viridiplantae; Streptophyta; Magnoliopsida; Rosales; Rosaceae. The record is from RefSeq and is a predicted model, not a curated record.